Molecule: ribosomal RNA, 468 nt
Filed under: uncultured bacterium
Lineage: Bacteria
Description: partial 16S ribosomal RNA
Rfam family: Bacterial small subunit ribosomal RNA
Source: RNAcentral
GACGAACGCUGGCGGCGUGCUUAACACAUGCAAGUCGAACGGAAAGGCCCUGCUUUUGUGGGGUGCUCGAGUGGCGAACGGGUGAGUAACACGUGAGUAACCUGCCCUUGACUUUGGGAUAACUUCAGGAAACUGGGGCUAAUACCGGAUAGGAGCUCCUGCUGCAUGGUGGGGGUUGGAAAGUUUCGGCGGUUGGGGAUGGACUCGCGGCUUAUCAGCUUGUUGGUGGGGUAGUGGCUUACCAAGGCUUUGACGGGUAGCCGGCCUGAGAGGGUGACCGGCCAAAUUGGGACUGAGAUACGGGCCCGAAUCCUACGGGAGGCAGCAGUGGGGAAUAUUGCACAAUGGGCGGAAGCCUGAUGCAGCAACGCCGCGUGCGGGAUGACGGCCUUCGGGUUGUAAACCGCUUUCGCCUGUGACGAAGCGUGAGUGACGGUAAUGGGUAAAGAAGCACCGGCUAACUACGUG